RNAcentral lists this ribosomal RNA (270 nucleotides) under Bacillus sp. RKBH-B114. RNAcentral describes it as "partial 16S ribosomal RNA". It matches the Rfam family "Bacterial small subunit ribosomal RNA", at positions 211 to 485 of the family's 1533-position model. Lineage: Bacteria; Bacillati; Bacillota; Bacilli; Caryophanales; Bacillaceae. The record is from RNAcentral.
GCUAUCACUUACAGAUGGACCCGCGGCGCAUUAGCUAGUUGGUGAGGUAACGGCUCACCAAGGCAACGAUGCGUAGCCGACCUGAGAGGGUGAUCGGCCACACUGGGACUGAGACACGGCCCAGACUCCUACGGGAGGCAGCAGUAGGGAAUCUUCCGCAAUGGACGAAAGUCUGACGGAGCAACGCCGCGUGAACGAUGAAGGCCUUCGGGUCGUAAAGUUCUGUUGUUAGGGAAGAACAAGUACCAGAGUAACUGCUGUACCUGACGU